UCGCCGUUUCCACAUGUGCCCGACUUCUCCUCCUCCUUUUUCCCCGAUCUCUUCUCCCCUCUCUGCCCCGACGCUAUCCCGAUCUCCUUUCUUCCCCUUCUUCCUCACUGCCUCUCUCUCGCGGACGAGCGACGCCGACAGAAGCGAGGCUCUAGCUCGGCGAUCUUUCUCCGCCGGCAUCAAUGCCUAUUGAGCCCAGAUCCGGCCGGCGUUUUUCUCUUCGGAUCGGCAUAGCAUCGCUUCUCCUCGCAACCUCGUCUCACUGCCAUCACCGAUCGCCAGCGGCUGAGCACCUCCUUCCACCACCGUCCACCAAAUCUGGGAGGGGAUCUAUUGGUUCGGCACUGCUGGAUUGAGCCGUGCCACCUGAUCGUCGGCGUGGAAGGGCAAUUAGGGUUUCGCGGGUAAGCAACCGACCUUCAUCCUUCUUCCCUCCUCUUCUCUGGAGUGUCUCGGAUCUGUGCCCUAGCACUGUCUGCGAAUCCCCAAUUUCUUCUCUGACUGACGGCGAGGUGCACGAGGUUGCCCUAGCAGCGAUCUUGGAGUGAGGAGGAAUUUUUGCAGGGAGGUCAUGCUAUGCUAUUCUUUGAUCUAAAUAAUUCUAUCAGUGAAGGGUGCUUGAGUUGUCGGGCAAUGCUUAGAAGAGUUGCUGCUGGAUCAGUGAUCUCCUUGAUUGAUCCCUUGUUGUAAUCCGAUUGAUUUCCAGUGAGGUUGAGUGUCCUGUGGAUCUAGAAUUGGGUUCUGUGGCUUCUGGGUUCCGGCAGCACCUCAACCAGUAGCUCCUCUGGUUUCAACAAUCAACAGUGGUUGUUAAUUGAGGAUCUUGUCUGGUCCAGCAGGGCACUUUGUUUUCCAGCAGCUCAAUUGAGGACUCUGAUUCGAGACGGGCGUCUCGACUUUGGAUAGCUUGAUUGUACCUUCUAUUUGAGG
Molecule: long non-coding RNA, 930 nt
Organism: Zingiber officinale
Lineage: Eukaryota; Viridiplantae; Streptophyta; Magnoliopsida; Zingiberales; Zingiberaceae
Exons: 3
Source: RefSeq, a predicted model, not a curated record